RNAcentral lists this ribosomal RNA (468 nucleotides) under uncultured bacterium. RNAcentral's name for it is "partial 16S ribosomal RNA". It matches the Rfam family "Bacterial small subunit ribosomal RNA", at positions 28 to 507 of the family's 1533-position model. The record is from RNAcentral.
GACGAACGCUGGCGGCGUGCUUAACACAUGCAAGUCGAACGGAAAGGCCCUGCUUUUGUGGGGUGCUCGAGUGGCGAACGGGUGAGUAACACGUGAGUAACCUGCCCUUAACUUUGGGAUAACUUCAGGAAACUGGGGCUAAUACCGGAUAGGAGCUCCUGCUGCAUGUUGGGGGUUGGAAAGUUUCGGCGGUUGGGGAUGGACUCGCGGCUUAUCAGCUUGUUGGUGGGGUAGUGGCUUACCAAGGCUUUGACGGGUAGCCGGCCUGAGAGGGUGACCGGCCACAUUGGGACUGAGGUACGGCCCAGACUCCUACGGGAGGCAGCAGUGGGGAAUAUUGCACAAUGGGCGGAAGCCUGAUGCAGCAACGCCGCGUGCGGGAUGACGGCCUUCGGGUUGUAAACCGCUUUCGCCUGUGACGAAGCGUGAGUGACGGUAAUGGGUAAAGAAGCACCGGCUAACUACGUG